This 253-nucleotide ribosomal RNA is filed under the name uncultured bacterium. RNAcentral's name for it is "partial 16S ribosomal RNA". It matches the Rfam family "Bacterial small subunit ribosomal RNA", at positions 524 to 776 of the family's 1533-position model. The record is from RNAcentral.
UACGGAGGGAGCAAGCGUUGUUCGGAAUCAUUGGGCGUAAAGAGCGCGUAGGCGGUUUGUCAGGUUGGGAGUGAAAGCGCGGGGCUUAACCUCGGAACUGCUUCCACAACGGGCUGACUAGAGAGAGGUAGGGGAUGGCGGAAUUCCUAGUGUAGAGGUGAAAUUCGUAGAUAUUAGGAGGAACACCAGUGGCGAAGGCGGCCAUCUGGGCCGCUACUGACGCUGAGACGCGAAAGCGUGGGGAGCAAACAGG